UAGGGAAUCUUCCACAAUGGGCGCAAGCCUGAUGCAGCGACGCCGCGUGAGGGAUGGAGGCCUUCGGGUUGUAAACCUCUUUUAUCGGGGAGCAAGCGAGAGUGAGUUUACCCGUUGAAUAAGCACCGGCUAACUACGUGCCAGCAGCCGCGGUAAUACGUAGGGUGCAAGCGUUAUCCGGAAUUAUUGGGCGUAAAGGGCUCGUAGGCGGUUCGUCGCGUCCGGUGUGAAAGUCCAUCGCUUAACGGUGGAUCCGCGCCGGGUACGGGCGGGCUUGAGUGCGGUAGGGGAGACUGGAAUUCCCGGUGUAACGGUGGAAUGUGUAGAUAUCGGGAAGAACACCAAUGGCGAAGGCAGGUCUCUGGGCCGUUACUGACGCUGAGGAGCGAAAGCGUGG
RNAcentral lists this ribosomal RNA (397 nucleotides) under uncultured bacterium. Its description in RNAcentral is "bacterial SSU rRNA". It matches the Rfam family "Bacterial small subunit ribosomal RNA", at positions 355 to 764 of the family's 1533-position model. The record is from RNAcentral.